Molecule: ribosomal RNA, 253 nt
Filed under: uncultured bacterium
Lineage: Bacteria
Description: partial 16S ribosomal RNA
Rfam family: Bacterial small subunit ribosomal RNA
Source: RNAcentral
UACAGGGGGGGCAAGCGUUGUUCGGAAUUACUGGGCGUAAAGGGCUCGUAGGCGGCCAACUAAGUCAGACGUGAAAUCCCUCGGCUUAACCGGGGAACUGCGUCUGAUACUGGAUGGCUUGAGAUUGGGAGAGGGAUGCGGAAUUCCAGGUGUAGCGGUGAAAUGCGUAGAUAUCUGGAGGAACACCGGUGGCGAAGGCGACAUCCUGGACCAACACUGACGCUGAGGAGCGAAAGCCAGGGGAGCAAACGGG